CCUCCAUGAUGUUUCAAUAGAUCCUGCUGACCCUUCUCUAUGUACUCAGAAGGGAAAUGAGGAGAUGUAGUGGCUGAGAGG
This is a small nucleolar RNA of Bufo bufo (common toad), 81 nucleotides long. The record is from RefSeq and is a predicted model, not a curated record. Lineage: Eukaryota; Metazoa; Chordata; Amphibia; Anura; Bufonidae.